GCAAAGGUAGCUCAGUUGGGUAGAGCAGCGAACUCAUAAUUCGCGGGUCACGGGUUCGAAUCCCGUACUUUGAA
This 74-nucleotide transfer RNA is filed under the name Gammaproteobacteria bacterium. RNAcentral describes it as "tRNA-Met". It matches the Rfam family "tRNA". Rfam says of the family: Transfer RNA (tRNA) molecules are approximately 80 nucleotides in length. Their secondary structure includes four short double-helical elements and three loops (D, anti-codon, and T loops). Further hydrogen bonds mediate the characteristic L-shaped molecular structure. tRNAs have two regions of fundamental functional importance: the anti-codon, which is responsible for specific mRNA codon recognition, and the 3' end, to which the tRNAs corresponding amino acid is attached (by aminoacyl-tRNA synthetases). tRNAs cope with the degeneracy of the genetic code in two manners: having more than one tRNA (with a specific anti-codon) for a particular amino acid; and 'wobble' base-pairing, i.e. permitting non-standard base-pairing at the 3rd anti-codon position. RNAcentral also lists the same sequence under 1 other name. The record is from RNAcentral. Lineage: Bacteria; Pseudomonadati; Pseudomonadota; Gammaproteobacteria.